Molecule: microRNA precursor, 134 nt
Filed under: Gossypium raimondii (Peruvian cotton)
Lineage: Eukaryota; Viridiplantae; Streptophyta; Magnoliopsida; Malvales; Malvaceae
Description: miR8724 stem-loop (gra-MIR8724)
Source: miRBase by way of RNAcentral
CCAACUGGAUGAGCUUUUUGCUGACAUGUCAAUGAAAGUGCAUCCAGUUGGACGUAUUUUCUUUGGAAUUUUCAGAAACGCUUCCAGUUGAACGCGCUUUUCCUGACAUGUCAGUAGAAAGCUCAUCUAGUUAG